Molecule: microRNA precursor, 53 nt
Filed under: Pteropus alecto (black flying fox)
Lineage: Eukaryota; Metazoa; Chordata; Mammalia; Chiroptera; Pteropodidae
Description: microRNA pal-mir-208b precursor
Gene: pal-mir-208b
Source: miRBase by way of RNAcentral
GCUUUUUGCUCGCGUUAUGUUUCUCAUCCGAAUAUAAGACGAACAAAAGGUUU